AUGAUGAAUACUGCUCCAGAGCAUUGGUGUAGGGCAUACAUGAAGCUAGGCUCCAACUGUGACUCAGUGGAUAAUAACAUGUGUGAGUCCUUUAACAAUUGGAUCUUGGAAGCAAGGUAUCUCCCAUGCAUCUCUAUGCUAGAGUGGAUCAGACAGAAGAACAUGGUGAGGAUACAAGAAAACAGAACUAAAGCUGAGAAAUGGGAAGGGACCAUUUGUCCUAAUGUAUUCAAAAAACUGAAACAGAACAUUAAGAGAUCAGGCACUUGUGAUGUCCUCUGGAAUGGAAAAGAGGGGUUUGAGGUACUUGAACAUGAGAAGUUCAAAUUCACUGUGAACUUGGAAGCAUGGACAUGCUCAUGCAGAUACUGGCAACUUUCUGGCCUUCCAUGUUGUCACGCAAUAAGUGCUAUCUACAAAACUGGCAGGAAAAUAGAUGAUUACAUUGCCAAGUGCUACUCUAUUGAAGUGUACAACAAAAUAUAUUCCCAUUGUUUGGAGCCCUUGGAGGGGGAAGAAAGUUGGCCAAGAUCAGAUCGAGUAAAGCCUGCACCUCCAGGGUACAUUAGCUUGCCAGGCAGGCCAAAGACAGAGAGACGAAGAGAGGAGGGAGAAGCACCAAAGGGGAAUAAGAUGAGGAAGAUAGGAGGGACAAUAACAUGCAGUCCAUGCCAUAGGACAGGUCACAACAUGAAAUCUUGCACAAACAAUGGAGCAGGUAAGCACCAGGGCAAUUCACAUAUUGUGAGAGAUGCUGCAAGGAAAAGAAAACAAGAUAAAGAUGCAAUGGAAGCUGAAAAUGCUAAGAAAACAAAGGCAGCAGUUGAGGCUGCAAAUGCAAAGAAGGAAAAGGGGGUUGCACAGUCAAGUUCUCAGCCACAUGUUCAAAUUCAUGAAAAUUUAACAAGUUCUCAGCCAAGCAGGCAGGGCAAGUCACAAGCUGGAGUUCCUAAUGUCCCAGCCAAGCAGGCAGGGCAAAAUGUUAAGAAAUCAAUGCAGGGCAAGUCACAAGCUGGAGCAAGCCAAGCAGGAAGGGUGAAACACUCAAGCAUGCAGAGGAAAUCCACAAAUGUUGGUGGUUCACAGCCAUCAACCAGCCAGAGGAAAUCCACACAGGGGGGAACAACCAGCAGCUCACAACCCAAUGUUCCCAAGCACUGUGUGUUCAACCUGGCAGCAUACAAGAAGGCCUUAGAGAGCAAGAAAGGACCGUCCAUUUGA
This 1221-nucleotide ribosomal RNA is filed under the name Triticum aestivum (bread wheat). RNAcentral describes it as "partial small subunit ribosomal RNA". The record is from RNAcentral. Lineage: Eukaryota; Viridiplantae; Streptophyta; Magnoliopsida; Poales; Poaceae.